Molecule: ribosomal RNA, 492 nt
Filed under: uncultured bacterium
Lineage: Bacteria
Description: partial 16S ribosomal RNA
Rfam family: Bacterial small subunit ribosomal RNA
Source: RNAcentral
AGUGAACGCUGGCGGUAGGCCUAACACAUGCAAGUCGAACGGCAGCACAGUAAGAGCUUGCUCUUACGGGUGGCGCGUGGCGGACGGGUGAGGAAUACAUCGGAAUCUACUUUUUCGUGGGGGAUAACGUAGGGAAACUUACGCUAAUACCGCAUACGAUCUACGGGUGAAAGCAGGGGAUCUUCGGACCUUGCGCGAUUGAAUGAGCCGAUGUCGGAUUAGCUAGUUGGCGGGGUAAAGGCCCACCAAGGCGACGAUCCGUAGCUGGUCUGAGAGGAUGAUCAGCCACACUGGAACUGAGACACGGUCCAGACUCCUACGGGAGGCAGCAGUGGGGAAUAUUGGACAAUGGGCGCAAGCCUGAUCCAGCCAUACCGCGUGGGUGAAGAAGGCCUUCGGGUUGUAAAGCCCUUUUGUUGGGAAAGAAAAGCAGCAGGUUAAUACCCCGCUGUUCUGACGGUACCCAAAGAAUAAGCACCGGCUAACUUCGUG